This 272-nucleotide ribosomal RNA is filed under the name Xenorhabdus szentirmaii. Its description in RNAcentral is "partial 23S ribosomal RNA". It matches the Rfam family "Bacterial large subunit ribosomal RNA", at positions 845 to 1114 of the family's 2925-position model. The record is from RNAcentral. Lineage: Bacteria; Pseudomonadati; Pseudomonadota; Gammaproteobacteria; Enterobacterales; Morganellaceae.
AUAGCUGGUUCUCCCCGAAAUAGCUUUAGGGCUAGCCUUAAGUGUAAGAGUCUUGGAGGUAGAGCACUGAUUGGACUAGGGGUCCUCAUCGGAUUACCGAAUUCAGUCAAACUCCGAAUGCCAAUGACUUAUCCUUAGGAGUCAGACUGCGAGUGAUAAGAUCCGUAGUCAAGAGGGAAACAGCCCAGAUCGCCAGCUAAGGUCCCAAAGUGUGUAUUAAGUGGAAAAGGAUGUGGAGUUGCUUAGACAACUAGGAUGUUGGCUUAGAAGCA